Molecule: long non-coding RNA, 664 nt
Organism: Corvus hawaiiensis (hawaiian crow)
Lineage: Eukaryota; Metazoa; Chordata; Aves; Passeriformes; Corvidae
Exons: 3
Source: RefSeq, a predicted model, not a curated record
CCCAAAUCUGCAUUUUUUCCUCUGGCUGGCAGAUUUCCAAGAUAAAGAGGACUGCUCUCCGGCUGGAACAGCAGCCGGGGCCUGCUCUCCAAACUCACAAAAGAGAACACCACACACAGAGAAAAAGCGACGGGGCUGACCGGCCAGAAACGUCUUCUCACCCUCUGAAGCAAUUUCUCCAAUAAAGAAGGAAAACCCAAGCACCCGCGGCAGCCCCACGCCCCGGCCCCUGUUCCCACGCACCGGCGGGACGGGCGGGCAGCGCCGGCAGACUCGGGACGGGACGGGACGGGACGGGACGGGACGGGACGGCGGCUCCUUCGCGCCGGGUCGGGCAGGGAUAAAUUGCUCCUCUUUCUGAUAACUGGGGAACCAGAAUCCACAUGAAGCUUCCUCCCUUUUCAGUCACCCCUCCCCAGGCUGUUUCUUUGGAAAGUGGGAGGAAGCACUGUCUUGUCACUCAGAAUCACAGACUACGCUGAGUUGGACGGGACUCAUCAGGAUCAUCGAGUCCAACUCCUGGCUUUGCACAGGACACCCCAAGAGUCACACCCUGUGCCUGAGAGUGCUGUCCAGAUGCUUCUUGAACUGUCAGGCUUGGGGCUGUGACCACUUCCCUGGGGAGCCUGUUCCAGUGCCCAACCACCCUCUGGGGGAAGAACUU